RNAcentral lists this long non-coding RNA (1708 nucleotides) under Vigna radiata. RNAcentral's name for it is "long non-coding RNA (VRAD_LNC005510)". Lineage: Eukaryota; Viridiplantae; Streptophyta; Magnoliopsida; Fabales; Fabaceae. The record is from RNAcentral.
GGCAACUAAGCGUAUACCCAAUUGCAAGUGCAAAUACAGGUUUCACAUUAACCAAGGUCAGAGUAGCAACCACAGUAACCGUCCAAAAAUCUCAAGGAAACAUUCUAAUAUCGUUAAUGACCAACUGAAUUAAUUUUAAGCUAGCAUGACAACUAAAUUAUCUCUACCACAAAUACAAGACAACAUUAAGACAAAAUAAAAUAAAAUACUAGACCCCAAUAAGGCAACAAACAACUACCUAACACAGUUAAAUUAAAUUAAAUGCAAAACUAAAUUAAAGAAAUCAAAAGCAACUAAUCCUACUAAUUAAACUAAUUCAUACAAGUAAUAAUCAAACAUGUUUUUUCCUAAUCAUUCAUGUGACCAAAUACAUCCAACCAAAUAAAAUUAAAAAUGCAAAAGGCCUAAGGAAACCUCUUGGCCGUGAGUUACCAUGCACCACAUCCAAAUUUGAUUUUCUUUCUUCAUUAACCAAUUCCUUAUGCUAUCAUUUUGUCCCAUGUGCACCAUUUUCCAAGGAAAUUGAAAUGUGUCUUAAACAUCACUAUGAAAUUGUGCCUUUAUCCCUUUCCAUGCAGCAAAAACGAACUCCCAAAACCAAGGCACAAACUAACGUGAGCUAGAAAGAAGUUGCUACAAAAAAUGCUUCAAACCAAGGGGUAAAUGAAAAAUACUUUGAGUGCUUCACCCAGGGUGCCAUGUAAGCAAAGUCAAAGCAAAAUAAACCACACCAACAUACUCAUUCUCGGCAGAAUUGCAAGCUAGAGACAAAGCUUAAAAUGGAAACAUUCCUUUAGUCAAAAUAAGCAUCUCCUAUGUUUGCCCAAAAGUGGUAAAGAAAUUAAAUGCACCUUAUCUCUCCCUUCCAUUGCUCCAUUUCGGUUUCUCCACCAAGACAAACCUUCAAAACCUUUUCUUCAUCCAUCAUGAAUGUGAAUGCACCCCAAGAAACCAAGUUUUCAUUUCCAAAUAAUUACAAGAUCAACAAAGCCAAGUUCUACUACUAUAAACCAACCCGACACUCACUUUUCUUCAAACUUUUGCUAAAAACAAAAUGGAAUCCCUAGACCCCUUGCAAAACCGUCCAGCCACCAUCAUCAAGCACAAUGUUCUAGCUCAAAAUAUUGCUUCAAACCAUCAAACAAAAGCCCAAGAAGAAAUUGGUUCACACCUCAACACCCAUACACAAGCUCAAGCUUUGUUCACUUCCAAACUUAACAAGAACUUCAUUUUCAUGAUUCAACAAAGAAAACUAAAUGGAAAACCUUGAGUACUGCAGCAAAGGAGAAAGAAAACGCAAAAGCUCUUCAUUCAAAUCAAAGACCCACCAUGAAAAUGCAAGAAGAAACCUCAAGACUCAAGCUCAUGCUCUCAACUUCAAGGAACAAGAAAUAAAAGGGAAAAUGGGAAGGUUUUUCACCACCACCAAGCAAAGACAACCAAGAUUUAAGUAAGAGAAUAAGAAAAAUGCAUCAUUGAUUCAUUGAAGCUCAAAAACUGUGCACACCAAAGCUCUCCAUGAGAGUUCAUACAAAACCUAAGCAAAAUGAAAUGUAAAAGUGUGCCCAAAAAGUGUGUCUCGGCAAUUCCACUCUAAAUGCCGUCCCACACCCUAAAAAUUUUGGGGUCCACCUCUAAGAAACCCUAGGUUUUGGUGCCAAGUGUCCCUCCAAGUUUGGGCCUAUCAUAAAAUUUGUCAACAUUGGCC